Long non-coding RNA from Culex pipiens pallens (northern house mosquito), 2205 nucleotides. RefSeq lists it as uncharacterized. Lineage: Eukaryota; Metazoa; Arthropoda; Insecta; Diptera; Culicidae. The transcript has 3 exons. The record is from RefSeq and is a predicted model, not a curated record.
AAAAAAAACAUUUUAAUUUUUAAAAUUCUAUUUUACUGCUAACUGUAGCUGGCAACAUUGUUUGCAUAUGUUGUAGUAUGUUUGGAAAGGGCUUGUGACGAGGCAAAUAGAAUAAAACUAUGUAUAAGAAUACGCUUGUUUCAUAAGCUUGGUUAGACAUGAUGGUUUGCUCUGGUUUUACAAACAAAGAAGAAGAGAACUAUUUUUCCCAGCACCGCCGUGCUGAAAAACGGGCAAAUUGUGACUAAAGUUUUGUUUUAUUAGCGCCCAAAAAAGGUUUUUCUGGAAGUUUUCCAACAAUAAGUAGGUGCUUACUGAUGUGGAGCUUAUCCAUGAAGAUUUUACCUAUUAAUUAGUGAAUCUAAAGUGGUGCACAAUCGAAGAAGAAAUGUGUUGAAGAAGAUAGAAAAUUUGUGGAAAGAAGAAGUAUGCAAAAGAAUUUUAUAAUGCUUCCUAAUCUCGGCGAGUUUGUGAAAGUUUAAAAAGCGUAAACACAAAAAAUGUUUCUUCAUUAGAUGAAUUGUGCACGUAUCUCAUACGAGAUAAAUUUUGGUUGAGGUAAGUGUCUAAAUAUUGAAAUUGGAGCCAAUUUUCUGGAGGCGAGAUUUUCCGUCAGCAGAUAUUAAGGAUAAAAUGAUAAUCAUCAGUUGAAAUUAAGGUCAAACGACAGCCGCCUUUUUCGGCCAUUUUUUUGCUACUUGGAAUUCCACCUUAAGGUUUUAAGAUUUUUGCGGGGUUUUGGAGGGACCUGUGCCGCGCUAAUGUCCUCCUGUCGUGAAGGAAGGAUGAAAACUUCACGAAAAGGUGUACUUGCGACCCGGUCGAGUCAGAGCGGACAAAAUUACGGAACCAGAAUCGCAACCCGCUGGUUCCUCAAUUACGGGCAGGGAAGGAAGUGAUCCAUGAAAUGGCCAGCUUUUCUGCACAUCGAUGGGAGAAGCGGGAGUGGAACUGGUGGGAGAAAAACAGUGAAUAAAUCGGAGCUGAUAGAACCGCAGCGAAGCGCCGGAAUGUCCUCAGCGUGUUGGAGGUCUUCUGCACCGCGCCGUUGACUUGAAAUGCCCAUGCCAUGUUUUUGUUCAACCGGGGGUCGAGCGUCCUUCUCUAGCAAGUGCAGAAGCUAACAAACAAAACGCAUGUCUUCGAUGGCCUGCCGCGGGUCGAGCGAAGUCGGUGCAGUUGCUGCAAGCAACCCAGAAGCAGCACCCGCGCGUCGCCUAGCCCGGCGCCCAGGCCAAUGCAGGAUCUCACAAAAGCUCUAGACGCUGAGCUCGCUCACGUUCGAACCGUUGGAUCCGAUGUCGGACAUUCAGAGCUUCUUGCGCAAUGAGAAGAAGAAUGCGAUUUUGUCCGUUAUCUGGGAAGUGCACAAGAACUCGUUUCAGGCGACGCAAAACGCCAAGAUUCUGAACCUGAUUAGAUCGUUCGUCGGACUCAAGUUCGCCAACCAGAACCAAAACUCGAGCUUCAUCGGCCUACAGGAUGGUCACCUUAAAGCCUCUCUGGCCAAUGGUCUACUACUUUCAGCGCGGUGGCGACACCGCAUCUGCCCUCAAGGGCAUGCAAAUGGCCGGACCGUGUCGCGACGAUUUGAUCGCUGUCCUCGAGGAAAAGUGGCCCAAAAACGAUCAGAAGAUCAACCCCAAGCUGGUGCUAAAAAUCCGAUUGCAAUACAAGUGUUAAAUCUGGAACGCCAAGCGCGUCGUCUACUGCAUCAUCGGUUGCUGCAACAUCCAGAAGAUGCUGGCGCUGACCGGCCAGUUUGAAGCCGGCAUUCAUUUCCGGGGAUUUGCAUCACGCGCUUGCUAACUGCACAUGAUCCGGGCCUGCAGGAAUCGUUGCUUCCGUCGACAUCGAUGCCCCGCGGGCAUGUCAUGCUUUUUCCUAUUUUUUUUAUUAUAUUAAAUAUAUCUAUUUUUUUACCAUGGUUUUGCUUUGGGUGAGAAGGGGUCCAUUCAGAAUUAAAUAAAAAUCACGUUUAAUCUAUCACUACUGUUGCAAAACAUUAUUUCAUGCAAAAUAAACUUUUUAAUUAGUCUGCCGAAACAAUAAAGUUGGCUUAAAAAGUAAAAAAUACAAAGUAAAUUGCAUUUUCUAGCAAAUUGGUAUACCACUCUGUAGAAGCGAGAACGGUAUGACGUCAUCAUCAGAGGCAUCGCGAAUGUUGACACUUUUUCGCUUACCAACACUAAACCAAAACGUAUU